Molecule: long non-coding RNA, 282 nt
Organism: Drosophila biarmipes
Lineage: Eukaryota; Metazoa; Arthropoda; Insecta; Diptera; Drosophilidae
Exons: 3
Source: RefSeq, a predicted model, not a curated record
UGGGCCAUCGCUGUUUAAGGAAGAAGUCACACGAAAGGGAAUGGUAUUUGUGGUGUAGGCGCGACGCUGCUAGCUCUAAGAUGGAUAAAUUCUUAACCAGAAAACAUGGAAGGUCCGUCUCCGAAAAGGAAGCGAGGACCAUCAAUUUUUGUGUAUUCCUGCCACGUCCUGCGGUUCCGAACGUGCUUUUAGCAAGGCGGGUCAAAUAAUUUCCGAUCGCCGUACCCGUUUAAAGAGUAACAUCGUAGACCAACUUAUGUUCAUUAAUAAUAAUUAUAAUCU